ACGGCUGUAGCUUAAUAAAAGCACUCCGCUGAAGACGGAGUAGAUGGUGAUUUAUGUGCCCGACGUU
Molecule: transfer RNA, 67 nt
Filed under: Lithophaga curta
Lineage: Eukaryota; Metazoa; Mollusca; Bivalvia; Mytilida; Mytilidae
Description: tRNA-Phe
Source: RNAcentral